AUUGAACGCUGGCGGCCGGCCUAACACAUGCAAGUCGAACGAGUGGCGGACGGGGGAGUAAUGUCUGGGAAACUGCCUGCUGGAGGGGGAUAACUCCUGGAAACGGUAGCUAAUACCGCAUACCAUCAGAUGGGCCCGGAUGGGAUUUGCUAGUUGGUGGGGGAACGGCUUACCGAGGCGACGAGCCCUAGCUGGGCUGAGAGGAUGACCAGCCACACUGGAACUGAGACACGGUCCAGCCUCCUACGGGAGUCAGCAGUGGGGAAUAUUGCACAAUGGGCGCAAGCGUGAUGCAGCCAUGCCGCGUGGAUGAAGAAGGCAUUCGGGUUGUAAAGUACUUUCAGUGGGGAGGCGGUACCCGGAGAAGAAGCACCGGCUAACUCCGUGCCAGCAGCCGCGGUAAUAC
This 406-nucleotide ribosomal RNA is filed under the name uncultured bacterium. Its description in RNAcentral is "partial 16S ribosomal RNA". It matches the Rfam family "Bacterial small subunit ribosomal RNA", at positions 29 to 526 of the family's 1533-position model. The record is from RNAcentral.